AGUGAACGCUGGCGGUGGGCCUAACACAUGCAAGUCGAACGGCAGCACAAUAAGAGCGUGCUCUUACGGGUGGCGAGUGACGGGCGAGUAAGGAAUACAUCAGCAUCUACUUUUUCGGGGGUGACAACGUGGGGACACUUACGCUAAUACCGCAUACGACCUACGGCUGAAAUCAGUAGAUCUUGACACCUUGCCCGUCUGAUUGAGCCCGUGCCGGAUUAGCUAGUUGGCGAGGUAACGGCUCACCAAGGCGACGAUCCGUAGCUGGUCUGAGAGGAUGAUCAGCCACACUGGAACUGAGACACGGUCCAGACUCCUACGGGAGGCAGCAGUGGGGAAUAUUCGACAAUGGGCGAAAGCCUGAUGCAGCCAUACCGCGUGAGUGAAGAAGGUCUUCGGGUCGUAAAGCUCUGUUGUUGGGAAAGAACAGAAGUAGAUGUAACUAUGGACGUCUUGACGGUACCCAAAGAGUAAGCAACGGCUAACUUCGUG
This 492-nucleotide ribosomal RNA is filed under the name uncultured bacterium. RNAcentral's name for it is "partial 16S ribosomal RNA". It matches the Rfam family "Bacterial small subunit ribosomal RNA", at positions 29 to 507 of the family's 1533-position model. The record is from RNAcentral.